CCCUUAGAUGUUCUGGGCCGCACGCGCGCUACACUGAUGCAGUCAACAAGUUUAUUUCCUGCGCUGAAAAGUUUGGGUAAUCUUUUGAAACUGCAUCGUGCUGGGGCUUGACGAUUGCAAUUAUUUGUCACAAACGAGGAAUUCCUAGUAAACGCAAGUCAUCAUCUUGCAUUGAUUACGUCCCUGCCCUUUGUACACACCGCCCGUCGCUCCUACCGAUUGAAUGUUCCGGUGAACACUUUGGAAUAGUUCUUAUGUGAGGGGAAACUCUUUGCUUGGAUACUGUGAAGUUGUGUAAACCUUAACAUUUAGAGGAAGGAGAAGUCGUAACA
RNAcentral lists this ribosomal RNA (332 nucleotides) under uncultured eukaryote. RNAcentral describes it as "partial 18S ribosomal RNA". It matches the Rfam family "Eukaryotic small subunit ribosomal RNA", at positions 1470 to 1796 of the family's 1831-position model. The record is from RNAcentral.